GGGGUGUGCUUAGAGCAGAAGAAUGGCCUGAAGACUGGCUUCUCUGUUUACAACACACCCAACAAGAAUCUAGGAUCAUUGUGACAAAGGGCACAAAUCUUGUGAGCUCUCUUUUGAGCAAAUGUCCUACACAU
Molecule: small nucleolar RNA, 134 nt
Organism: Cavia porcellus (domestic guinea pig)
Lineage: Eukaryota; Metazoa; Chordata; Mammalia; Rodentia; Caviidae
Product: small nucleolar RNA SNORA11
Source: Ensembl